RNAcentral lists this ribosomal RNA (253 nucleotides) under uncultured bacterium. RNAcentral's name for it is "partial 16S ribosomal RNA". It matches the Rfam family "Bacterial small subunit ribosomal RNA", at positions 524 to 776 of the family's 1533-position model. The record is from RNAcentral.
UACGGAGGGUCCAAGCGUUAUCCGGAAUCAUUGGGUUUAAAGGGUCCGUAGGCGGUUUUGUAAGUCAGUGGUGAAAGCCCAUCGCUCAACGGUGGAACAGCCAUUGAUACUGCAAGACUUGAAUUAUUAGGAAGUAACUAGAAUAUGUAGUGUAGCGGUGAAAUGCUUAGAUAUUACAUGGAAUACCAAUUGCGAAGGCAGGUUACUACUAAUAUAUUGACGCUGAUGGACGAAAGCGUGGGGAGCGAACAGG